Molecule: ribosomal RNA, 533 nt
Filed under: Alteromonadaceae bacterium
Lineage: Bacteria; Pseudomonadati; Pseudomonadota; Gammaproteobacteria; Alteromonadales; Alteromonadaceae
Description: bacterial SSU rRNA
Rfam family: Bacterial small subunit ribosomal RNA
Source: RNAcentral
GGACCUGAUGCAGCCAUGCCGCGUGUGUGAAGAAGGCCUUCGGGUUGUAAAGCACUUUCAGUUGUGAGGAAAGGUUGGUAGUUAAUACCUGCCAGCUGUGACGUUAACAACAGAAGAAGCACCGGCUAACUCCGUGCCAGCAGCCGCGGUAAUACGGAGGGUGCGAGCGUUAAUCGGAAUUACUGGGCGUAAAGCGGACGCAGGCGGUUUGUUAAGCUAGAUGUGAAAGCCCCGGGCUCAACCUGGGAUGGUCAUUUAGAACUGGCAGACUAGAGUCUUGGAGAGGGGAGUGGAAUUCCAGGUGUAGCGGUGAAAUGCGUAGAUAUCUGGAGGAACAUCAGUGGCGAAGGCGACUCCCUGGCCAAAGACUGACGCUCAUGUCCGAAAGUGUGGGUAGCGAACAGGAUUAGAUACCCUGGUAGUCCACACCGUAAACGCUGUCUACUAGCUGUGUGUGAAUUUAAUUCGUGCGUAGCGAAGCUAACGCGCUAAGUAGACCGCCUGGGGAGUACGGCCGCAAGGUUAAAACUCAA